Molecule: long non-coding RNA, 648 nt
Organism: Physella acuta
Lineage: Eukaryota; Metazoa; Mollusca; Gastropoda; Physidae
Source: RefSeq, a predicted model, not a curated record
GCUUACUGUUUUAGUUGGGCCUAGUUUAACCUCUGUAUGUUAUUGAUAAUUUCCUACAUAGUGUGGUUUGAUAUUCUUUGUUUUCUUUUUGCGUCUAUAAUCAAACGUGCCACCAGUCUUUAUCGUCUGCUCUGUAACGACAUUAUAAUAUUCUCAUGGAUAUUUACGUUGGUUCAAGGUUCACCCAAAAAAAAAAAGGAAGAUCUGAUUUCUACCAGUAAUAAGACUACAGUAUACUAAAUGACACAAGAUGUUCUUUCUCUGUUAUCACUUACAUUAGACAUCAAAGCAUGAAAAGGUUUAACAGUCUGUGCCUACAACAUAGAUUAUGAUAGAUCUCCAGGACUAAAACUAAAUUGCAAUCAGUAUAUCACAAGUAUUAUAAUAAAAGCAUCUAAUCUGCUUCAGUGGCCAGAACUGGGUGAAUCCUCUCAAACUUGAAUCAGGAACUAGGCAUACUUAAUGAGCGUCAAGCUGAUACAGUAGCUGCACAGAAGAAUUUAUACAAGGAAGUGAAAAGUGAUGUAAAAGGCAACUAAUACGUCCAUCUACCAUAGUUAAAACAAGAAUCUGCAAACGCCCAUAAUUGCAAUAGUCUUGAUAUAGGCCUAUACAUUUUUGGCUUUAUAUGCAAUUGUUAGGUUUGAU